This 500-nucleotide ribosomal RNA is filed under the name uncultured bacterium. Its description in RNAcentral is "partial 16S ribosomal RNA". It matches the Rfam family "Bacterial small subunit ribosomal RNA", at positions 30 to 523 of the family's 1533-position model. The record is from RNAcentral.
AUUGAACGCUGGCGGAAUGCUUUACACAUGCAAGUCGAACGGCAGCACGGACUUCGGUCUGGUGGCGAGUGGCGAACGGGUGAGCAAUGUAUCGGAACGUGCCCAGUCGUGGGGGAUAACGUAGUGAAAAUUACGCUAAUACCGCAUACGAUCUAUGGAUGAAAGCGGGGGAUCGCAAGACCUCGCGCGAUUGGAGCGGCCGAUAUCAGAUUAGGUAGUUGGUGGGGUAAAGGACCACCAAGCCAACGAUCUGUAGCUGGUCUGAGAGGACGACCAGCCACACUGGAACUGCGAAACGGUCCAGACUCCUACGGGAGGCAGCAGUGGGGAAUUUUGGACAAUGGGCGAAAGCCUGAUCCAGCCAUUCCGCGUGCAGGAUGAAGGCCCUCGGGUUGUAAACUGCUUUUGUACAGAACGAAAAGGUUUCUACUAAUACUAGGAGCUCAUGACGGUACUGUAAGAAUAAGCACCGGCUAACUACGUGCCAGCCGCCGCCGUAA